Molecule: ribosomal RNA, 904 nt
Filed under: Bolbitius reticulatus
Lineage: Eukaryota; Fungi; Basidiomycota; Agaricomycetes; Agaricales; Bolbitiaceae
Description: eukaryotic LSU rRNA
Rfam family: Eukaryotic large subunit ribosomal RNA
Source: RNAcentral
AAAGAAACUAACAAGGAUUCCCCUAGUAACUGCGAGUGAAGCGGGAAAAGCUCAAAUUUAAAAUCUGGCAGUCUUUGGCUGUCCGAGUUGUAAACUAGAGAAGUGUUAUCCGCGCUGGACCGUGUAAAAGUCUCCUGGAAUGGAGCAUCAUAGAGGGUGAGAAUCCCGUCUUUGACAUGGACUACCAGUGCUUUGUGAUGCGCUCUCAAAGAGUCGAGUUGUUUGGGAAUGCAGCUCAAAAUGGGUGGUAAAUUCCAUCUAAAGCUAAAUAUUGGCGAGAGACCGAUAGCGAACAAGUACCGUGAGGGAAAGAUGAAAAGAACUUUGGAAAGAGAGUUAAACAGUACGUGAAAUUGCUGAAAGGGAAACGCUUGAAGUCAGUCGCGUUGGCCAGGAAUCAACCUUGCUUUUGCUGGGCGUACUUUCUGGUUGACGGGUCAGCAUCAAUUUUGACUGUUGGAAAAAGUUCAAGGGAAUGUGGCAUCUUCGGAUGUGUUAUAGCCCUCGUUCGCAUACAGCAGUUGGGAUUGAGGAACUCAGCACGCCGCAAGGCCGGGUUUCGACCACGUUCGUGCUUAGGAUGCUGGCAUAAUGGCUUUAAUCGACCCGUCUUGAAACACGGACCAAGGAGUCUAACAUGCCUGCGAGUGUUUGGGUGGAAAACCCAAGCGCGCAAUGAAAGUGAAAGUUGAGAUCCCUGUCGUGGGGAGCAUUGACGCCCGGACCAGACCUUUUGUGACGGAUCCGCGGUAGAGCAUGCAUGUUGGGACCCGAAAGAUGGUGAACUAUGCCUGAAUAGGGUGAAGCCAGAGGAAACUCUGGUGGAGGCUCGUAGCGAUUCUGACGUGCAAAUCGAUCGUCAAAUUUGGGUAUAGGGGCGAAAGACUAAUCGAACCAUCUAGUA